This 253-nucleotide ribosomal RNA is filed under the name uncultured bacterium. RNAcentral's name for it is "partial 16S ribosomal RNA". It matches the Rfam family "Bacterial small subunit ribosomal RNA", at positions 524 to 776 of the family's 1533-position model. The record is from RNAcentral.
UACGUAGGGGGCUAGCGUUGUCCGGAAUCAUUGGGCGUAAAGCGCGCGUAGGCGGCCCAGUAAGUCCGUUGUAAAAGUCAAAGGCUCAACCUUUGAAAGCCGAUGGAUACUGCUGGGCUAGAGUCCGGAAGAGGCGAGUGGAAUUCCUGGUGUAGCGGUGAAAUGCGUAGAUAUCAGGAGGAAUACCGGUGGCGAAAGCGACUCUCUGGACGGCAACUGACGCUGAGGCACGAAAGCGUGGGGAGCAAACAGG